CUGGCGGCAGGCCUAACACAUGCAAGUCGAGCGCUACCUUCGGGUGGAGCGGCGGACGGGUUAGUAACGCGUGGGAACGUACCCAGAUCUAAGGAAUAGCCACUGGAAACGGUAAGUAAUACCUUAUACGCCCUUCGGGGGAAAGAUUUAUCGGAUUUGGAUCGGCCCGCGUUAGAUUAGAUAGUUGGUGGGGUAAUGGCCUACCAAGUCUACGAUCUAUAGCUGGUUUUAGAGGAUGAUCAGCAACACUGGGACUGAGACACGGCCCAGACUCCUACGGGAGGCAGCAGUGGGGAAUCUUGGACAAUGGGCGCAAGCCUGAUCCAGCCAUGCCGCGUGAGUGAUGAAGGCCUUAGGGUCGUAAAGCUCUUUCGCCAGAGAUGAUAAUGACAGUAUCUGGUAAAGAAACCCCGGCUAACUCCGUGCCAGCAGCCGCGGUAAUACGGAGGGGGUUAGCGUUGUUCGGAAUUACUGGGCGUAAAGCGUACGUAGGCGGAUUAGUCAGUCAGAGGUGAAAUCCCAGGGCUCAACCCUGGAACUGCCUUUGAUACUGCUAGUCUUGAGUUCGAGAGAGGUGAGUGGAAUUCCAAGUGUAGAGGUGAAAUUCGUAGAUAUUUGGAGGAACACCAGUGGCGAAGGCGGCUCACUGGCUCGAUACUGACGCUGAGGUACGAAAGUGUGGGGAGCAAACAGGAUUAGAUACCCUGGUAGUCCACACCGUAAACGAUGAAUGCCAGUCGUCGGGCAGUAUACUGUUCGGUGACACACCUAACGGAUUAAGCAUU
Molecule: ribosomal RNA, 785 nt
Filed under: uncultured marine bacterium
Lineage: Bacteria
Description: bacterial SSU rRNA
Rfam family: Bacterial small subunit ribosomal RNA
Source: RNAcentral